AGAACGAACGCUGGCGGCAGGCCUAAUACAUGCAAGUCGAACGCACUCUUCGGAGUGAGUGGCAGACGGGUGAGUAACGCGUGGGAACCUUCCCAAUGGUACGGAAUAACUCCGGGAAACCGGUGCUAAUACCGUAUAAGCCCCUCGGGGGAAAGAUUUAUCGCCGAAAGAUUGGCCCGCGUCUGAUUAGCUAGUUGGCGGUGUAAUGGACCACCAAGGCGACGAUCAGUAGCUGGUCUGAGAGGAUGAUCAGCCACAUUGGGACUGAGACACGGCCCAAACUCCUACGGGAGGCAGCAGUGGGGAAUAUUGGACAAUGGGCGCAAGCCUGAUCCAGCCAUGCCGCGUGAGUGAUGAAGGCCUUAGGGUUGUAAAGCUCUUUCGACGGGGACGAUAAUGACGGUACCCGUAGAAGAAGCCCGGCUAACUUCGUGCCAGCAGCCGC
Molecule: ribosomal RNA, 445 nt
Filed under: uncultured bacterium
Lineage: Bacteria
Description: SSU rRNA
Rfam family: Bacterial small subunit ribosomal RNA
Source: RNAcentral